CCAACCGCCAACAGCGCAACACGAAUAAAAAGGACUGCAAGCCUUUAUGCUUUUAUCGUUGGCUUUUCUACAGAAAUUACCACUGUUGUUGAGUCUCCUGUAACUGAAAGAUAGAUUCAUAUUUGGAAAGAAUGGUUAGUACAGCAUGCCAAACUGACCCCUGGGUGCCAGAGUGUUCCUAUGCUGCGGUGGAGAAGAGGUCCACCAGGACCAUCACUAAAGAGCUCGAGGCCCAGCUAGAUUGCGCUCACAACCAUCAGUAUACAACCGAGUCCUGCCCCUAUAAGCCACAGAUGGAGCUGACGGAGAGUGAGAGUGAGAUCAGUGAAGACCAGAACUCGCUGUAUGAAUCUGAGAGCUCAGAAUCACAAUCAUCACAGUGCGAGCCAAGAUAUACUAUCGAAGAGUGUGUGCAAGAUCCAAAAUACAUAGUCUUUGAGAGCAAGCUGAAGGAGUUGUUCAAUGUCUGCCAUGAGCCAGGAUGUCGAGCAGGUGUCAUCAGUUCAUCCCUGAAAAGAGCCAUUCUUUUACAUUCUGGCUACAAUUGGUGACAGUCCACUAAUCGUAUCUGGAGACGCACAGUGUGAUUCGCCAGGCCAUUGUGCCUCCUUUGGCACUUACACCAUCCUGGACUCUGCUUCCCACCUGGUCCUUGCCCAGCAGACUGUGCAUGUGACUGAAGAACAGCUACUGGUUAGAGACGGAAGGAUUAGAGAGAUGCCUGCAACACAUUGAGGCAAUCAUAUCUACCUACGGGAGAAGGAUGGCCAGCCACACAGGAGGGUGAUUUUUACUAAGGAGGAGAAGGAGGCCGUGCUGACCGAGAUGCAUGCUGGCCAUUUUGGAGUGAAGCGCAUGAUUGCCAAAAUCAACCUACGCUUCUUCUGACGAGGAAUUGUCAAGGAGGUGGACA
Coregonus clupeaformis (lake whitefish) is the source of this 913-nucleotide long non-coding RNA. RefSeq lists it as uncharacterized. The record is from RefSeq and is a predicted model, not a curated record. NCBI's taxonomy places the organism in Eukaryota, Metazoa, Chordata, Actinopteri, Salmoniformes, Salmonidae. The transcript is spliced from 3 exons.